GUUUCGGUAGCUCAGUUGGUAGAGCACCUGUACGAGGUGAGCCAGGAGGAUAACUGCCAGGAGGUCGCAGGAUCGAAGCCUGCCCGGGAUU
Meloidogyne enterolobii is the source of this 91-nucleotide non-coding RNA. NCBI's taxonomy places the organism in Eukaryota, Metazoa, Nematoda, Chromadorea, Rhabditida, Meloidogynidae. The record is from the annotation of a GenBank genome assembly.